GCAUAAUCUGAAAACUCAAGGGCAGCAAGUUUUACCUUUUUAUCGUCGGAAUAGUUUUGACAGUUAAAAACCAUCUCCACUUUACGCUCCCACUCUAAAUAGGCAUCAACAUCAGCCUUACCAUUGAAGCUUGGAAUCUUCAUUUUUAUGGAGUUCAUACUGUUAUCUACAUAUGGUACACGAUCAUUGAACCUUCUGG
This 199-nucleotide long non-coding RNA is filed under the name Manihot esculenta (cassava). RNAcentral describes it as "long non-coding RNA (MESC_LNC012601)". The record is from RNAcentral. Lineage: Eukaryota; Viridiplantae; Streptophyta; Magnoliopsida; Malpighiales; Euphorbiaceae.